GACGAACGCUGGCGGCGUGCUUAACACAUGCAAGUCGAACGGAAAGGCCCUGCUUUUGUGGGGUGCUCGAGUGGCGAACGGGUGAGUAACACGUGAGUAACCUGCCCUUGACUUUGGGAUAACUUCAGGAAACUGGGGCUAAUACCGGAUAGGAGCUACUGCUGCAUGGGGGGGGUUGGAAAGUUUCGGCGGUUGGGGAUGGACUCGCGGCUUAUCAGCUUGUUGGUGGGGUAGUGGCUUACCAAGGCUUUGACGGGUAGCCGGCCUGAGAGGGUGACCGGCCACAUUGGGACUGAGAUACGGCCCAGACUCCUACGGGAGGCAGCAGUGGGGAAUAUUGCACAAUGGGCGGAAGCCUGAUGCAGCAACGCCGCGUGCGGGAUGACGGCCUUCGGGUUGUAAACCGCUUUCGCCUGUGACGAAGCGUGAGUGACGGUAAUGGGUAAAGAAGCACCGGCUAACUACGUG
Molecule: ribosomal RNA, 468 nt
Filed under: uncultured bacterium
Lineage: Bacteria
Description: partial 16S ribosomal RNA
Rfam family: Bacterial small subunit ribosomal RNA
Source: RNAcentral